UACGUAGGGCGCAAGCGUUGUCCGGAAUUAUUGGGCGUAAAGAGCUCGUAGGCGGUUUGUCGCGUCUGCUGUGAAAACCUGAGGCUCAACCUCGGGCUUGCAGUGGGUACGGGCAGACUAGAGUUCGGUAGGGGAGUCUGGAAUUCCUGGUGUAGCGGUGAAAUGCGCAGAUAUCAGGAGGAACACCGGUGGCGAAAGCGGACUUCUGGGUUGUUACUGACGCUGAGGUACGAAAGCGUGGGGAGCAAACGGG
Molecule: ribosomal RNA, 253 nt
Filed under: uncultured bacterium
Lineage: Bacteria
Description: partial 16S ribosomal RNA
Rfam family: Bacterial small subunit ribosomal RNA
Source: RNAcentral